UUUCCCCUGCGGUGUUGGUUGGAGCCACAUACUCCUUGAACCAAUGUCUUCGUGACAUGGCUGCCGGCUCAGCUUCCCGCUGUUGUGAGCGCCCCUUAGCCGGGCGCACCUGAUGCGGUUGAGUGGCAACCCCCUGAACCCCCGGUUCAGGAUGACGGCUCGACGGCACUUGCGGGGGAUCC
Molecule: non-coding RNA, 182 nt
Filed under: Candidatus Dactylopiibacterium sp.
Lineage: Bacteria; Pseudomonadati; Pseudomonadota; Betaproteobacteria; Rhodocyclales; Rhodocyclaceae
Description: 6S RNA
Rfam family: 6S / SsrS RNA
About the family: E. coli 6S RNA was the first non coding RNA to be sequenced, but its function was unknown until recently. It consists of 184 nucleotides that fold into an extended hairpin structure with a large single-stranded internal bulge.
Source: RNAcentral